This 466-nucleotide ribosomal RNA is filed under the name uncultured bacterium. RNAcentral describes it as "partial 16S ribosomal RNA". It matches the Rfam family "Bacterial small subunit ribosomal RNA", at positions 28 to 505 of the family's 1533-position model. The record is from RNAcentral.
GACGAACGCUGGCGGCGUGCUUAACACAUGCAAGUCGAACGGAAAGGCCCUGCUUUUGUGGGGUGCUCGAGUGGCGAACGGGUGAGUAACACGUGAGUAACCUGCCCUUGACUUUGGGAUAACUUCAGGAAACUGGGGCUAAUACCGGAUAGGAGCUCCUGCUGCAUGGUGGGGGUUGGAAAGUUUCGGCGGUUGGGGAUGGACUCGCGGCUUAUCAGCUUGUUGGUGGGGUAGUGGCUUACCAAGGCUUUGACGGGUAGCCGGCCUGAGAGGGUGACCGGCCACAGGGGGACUGAGAUACGGCCCAGACUCCUACGGGAGGCAGCAGUGGGGAAUAUUGCACAAUGGGCGGAAGCCUGAUGCAGCAACGCCGCGUGCGGGAUGACGGCCUUCGGGUUGUAAACCGCUUUCGCGUGUGACGAAGCGUGAGUGACGGGAAUGGGUAAAGAAGCACCGGCUAACUACG